Non-coding RNA from Macaca mulatta (Rhesus monkey), 589 nucleotides. The record is from RefSeq and is a predicted model, not a curated record. NCBI's taxonomy places the organism in Eukaryota, Metazoa, Chordata, Mammalia, Primates, Cercopithecidae.
UCCAAAACCCAGGUGAUUUAACUCUUUUGCCUUGCCCCAGCCUGCAGAGGGCAUUGUGACACACCUCUGCAAACAUCACCAAGGUGAUGUAACUCUCUUCUGACAAUUCCGUGUUCUAAAAGGUGAUUGUGACAUAUCACUGAGCUUAGCACCUAGCUGAUGUGACUCUUUUUUUCUUCCUAGAUUCUGCCUGCAAAGAAGAUUGUGACAUAUUGCUGGUUGCAGCACCACGGUGAUAUUACUCUUUUGCCUUGGCACUGCCCCCAGAAGGCAUUGUGAUAUGUUGGUGGUCCCAGCUUCAAGGGAAUGCCCUGAUAGAAAGAACAUGGACAGCGUGAGUCUGUUGGAGACUACCCCAUGGACAAGCAGAAUAAACUACAAUGGGUUUGAUGACAAAUGAUGUUGGGCCAGCCUGUUCCAAAAGCAAGCCAAGACGCAGUAGAAACCAAUACGGCCUUUCUGUGGGGGAGGCAUGAGUGUACUCCUUCUACCACAGGGACUCCCCAACACUGGCAGUGUCCAUGCCUUAUUCCACCACAGCAACAACAGAAAAUGGUAAAAUGGUCUUUUGCUGCUUUUUGCAGAGCUA